CUCUCCACUCCUGCCUCCUGGAGACUCAGCGAGCUCGUCCCUCAUUGACUCUACAUCACCCCUUACCCACCGGUCCCAGGUGCACACACGAGACCAGGCCCAGAGGUUGUCUGCAGAGUGAGAUUAUGGCGAAGCAUUUUAUUCUUUUUACAAACCUGCUUUUUCUCAGUUUUCCACAUUGGACUUGCCAGCUACCUGCCUUUGCAGGACACCUCAGAAGUUACAGACCUGCCUGUGGAAAUGCAGAGAGCACCUGAGGUAUUUCCCAGACUCUCCAGUAGUAGCCUUGAAUGGCUGACCAACCGCGGUUACCUGCCAGAUCUUCUCAGAACCAGCCAGCCCAUCAGCAACAUGCCCAUUAAGUGGCCUGACCCAGCCCAGAUGGAAAACCCCCCUCCACGUGACUUUCUAAAGAACAUGCAUGAAGACAAAACACCAGGUGCCUCAGGCAUGACACCCUGAGGACACAUCACCUGUACAGUAUCCUAACCCACCCAAGACGACACAGUAAGGUAAAACCACAGUAGAGCCCAGGCCUGUUUGACUCUGAAGUCCAGGCUCCUUUCCAACUUAGUGCCCUAAAGGCCUGACUGGGGUGGGGGUAGGGAGGAAGAUUCAAACACUGAUGUUUGUAGCCCAGGCUGGGAGGGCAACAGCUCUAGAAAAAAAGCCAUUCACUGCUGUAACCAUCUUCCAGCUAACUGCAGUGAGGUGUACAGGGCCAUGGGGCUCUGGGAUGAAGUCUUCCACCUCUACACCUUGUAAACAAGGAUUCCAGACACACCCUCCAAAUGGGAAUGGAGACACACGUUUGGCAGAGUUGGACAGUGAUGCUGCUCUCUUAUCAGCCUGGACUUCGAGGGGAGUGGAAAACUGAUGAGUGUGGAGGUGCAGCAGUCCUGGUAUCCCCUGAAACCAGCCUGUGAGAGGACAGUCUUCCCUGGGGAGCUGCUCAGGAUGGUCCUGGUCCAUGCAUCAGGAAGAAAACGGAACCUGAGAGCAGAGGGAAAAUGCAGAAAGUGGGGCAGGGAAACUGCUCCCUGAAACCCCCAUGGGCUGCUGGUCCCAGCAGAAAGUGUUGCCGGAGGGGGAGAGGCGGGGUGAAAUGGGACAGGAAACGAGGACUUCCGAUGAGGAGGAGGAAGGGGCAGUGGGCUGCGGGUCUUGGGGACUGAACAGAAUGGGGUUUGCUAGGCAGAGCUUUCCUCUACCCACUCCUAAAGUCCUGCUGGACCUCAGCUGGCCCCUGUGAACUGCUGUUGAGGGGGAUAUAAACACAAAGGCCUGCAUUCCUGUGGGUGCACAACCCUAAGAGACCGUGGACUGCGUCUGUGUGGUGAGAACAGGAAAAGGAGGCUGAGCGUAGCCCUGCUUGGAAUUUAGCCUCCACCACAGAUGUAUCCACUACCCAGGGUCAAAGACUCGGCAGCCUCAGAAGACUCAAUGGAAGCUGAGCACAGGACUAGAAAGGGUCAGGGCCCUCCUCCGUAUGUAGGGGUGGCACAUGGCGACUAGCUGGGUGAUGGGGCACUGAGAAAUUAAAUGUUUGACAUAAAAAUGUAAUCAGGACCCGAAAGGAGGUGGGUGGUGUAAUGAACAGCAUCCUAGAAGUCCGGUAUAGAUUUCACACGUCACCUUCUAGUUCCUUCUCUGCAAAUUGAAAGGUGAGGUCAGGUGCAGUGGCUCACGCCUGUAAUCCCAGCACUUAGGGAGGCCGAGGAGGGCGUAUCAUUGAGGUCAGGUGUUUGAGACCAGCCUAGCCAACAUGGUGAAACCUCUACUAAAAAAUAAAAAAUUAGCUGGGUGUGCUGGCACACGCCUGUCGUCCCAGCUACUUGGGAGGCUGAGGCAGAAGAAUCCUUUGAACCUGGGAGGCAGAGGCUGCAGUGAGCUGAGAUCACACCACUGCACUCUAGCCUGGGCAUCAGAGCGAGACUUCUUAAAAGAAAAAAAAAAAAAAGUUUAAAGGUGAGCCAGUUCAGGCAUUCUAGCAGCACUGCAGUUACAGACAGUAAACUGCACAAAUCCUGGGUGUAAAGUUAUUUUUUCCUAUGUAACCACCACCCAUUUACAGCAUCCCAGAAAGUUCAGAUGUGUCCCUUCCCAGUUUACAGCCACCCGCCUCCCACCCUCACUUCUAAAUCCGAUUAGCAGUGUGUCUUGGAAAUUAAUAUACAUGGAAUCAUAUAGUAUGUGCUCUUGUGUUUGGCUUCUUUGCUCAACAAGAUGUCCAUGAGAUUCAGCCGGGUUGUUGCCUCGCUCUGUAAUAUGUUAAUUUAGGUGUACUAUCCAUUGUCUGGAUAUACAAUUGCCUAUUCUCU
This is a long non-coding RNA of Nomascus leucogenys (northern white-cheeked gibbon), 2321 nucleotides long. RefSeq lists it as uncharacterized. The record is from RefSeq and is a predicted model, not a curated record. The transcript is spliced from 3 exons. Lineage: Eukaryota; Metazoa; Chordata; Mammalia; Primates; Hylobatidae.